CGCUGUGAAGAUGCAGUGUACCCGCGGCAAGACGGAAAGACCCCGUGAACCUUUACUAUAGCUUGACACUGAACAUUGAGCCUUGAUGUGUAGGAUAGGUGGGAGGCUUUGAAGUGUGGACGCCAGUCUGCAUGGAGCCGGCCUUGAAAUACCACCCUUUAAUGUUUGAUGUUCUAACGUGGACCCGUGAUCCGGGUUGCGGACAGUGUCUGGUGGGUAGUUUGACUGGGGCGGUCUCCUCCUAAAGAGUAACGGAGGAGCACGAAGGUUGGCUAAUCCUGGUCGGACAUCAGGAGGUUAGUGCAAUGGCAUAAGCCAGCUUGACUGCGAGCGUGACGGCGCGAGCAGGUGCGAAAGCAGGUCAUAGUGAUCCGGUGGUUCUGAAUGGAAGGGCCAUCGCUCAACGGAUAAAAGGUACUCCGGGGAUAACAGGCUGAUACCGCCCAAGAGUUCAUAUCGACGGCGGUGUUUGGCACCUCGAUGUCGGCUCAUCACAUCCUGGGGCUGAAGUAGGUCCCAAGGGUAUGGCUGUUCGCCAUUUAAAGUGGUACGCGAGCUGGGUUUAGAACGUCGUGAGACAGUUCGGUCCCUAUCUGCCGUGGGCGCUGGAGAACUGAGGGGGGCUGCUCCUAGUACGAGAGGACCGGAGUGGACGCAUCACUGGUGUUCGGGUUGUCAUGCCAAUGGCACUGCCCGGUAGCUAAAUGCGGAAGAGAUAAGUGCUGAAAGCAUCUAAGCACGAAACUUGCCCCGAGAUGAGUUCUCCCUGACCCUUUAAGGGUCCUGAAGGAACGUUGAAGACGACGACGUUGAUAGGCCGGGUGUGUAAGCGCAGCGAUGCGUUGAGCUAACCGGUACUAAUGAACCGUGAGG
Molecule: ribosomal RNA, 873 nt
Filed under: Shigella sonnei
Lineage: Bacteria; Pseudomonadati; Pseudomonadota; Gammaproteobacteria; Enterobacterales; Enterobacteriaceae
Description: partial 23S ribosomal RNA
Rfam family: Bacterial large subunit ribosomal RNA
Source: RNAcentral